CUGGCUAAUUUUUGUGUAUUUUGUAGAGAAGGGGUUUUACCACGUUGCCCAGGCUUAGAUACCAUCUUAAAUGGUCUCCUCUUUCACCCUUUCUCCCUGAGCCCCACUCUGACAUCUCAUCAUCCUAAGGGCAAGAAAAGAAAUAAAAUGAAAGAUAAGGUGCUCUUUUUCCUUAACUAGAACAAAACUGAUCAAAGUUGUUGAGUCCUAAUUUCCCAUCUCUUAGGCUGUGCCCUGGAGGAACUGGGGAGAGCUCUCUGGCUGUAUGGUGACUGUUCCUUUUACCAUGCCUAUUUAUAAUGCAAGCGCCCCUCCCACCAAAAUCUACUUUCCUGAUAUAAUGGUUUCUGGGGCUCCAUUCCUCACUAAGCUUAUUAGAGCUUCUCUAUCUUGGAGAUAGAAUGGGAAACAUUAAGAUGGGGCCAUUGAGCUUCUCCCUGAAAUUGAGGACACAAAAUUUUCCAGUUAGCAUUUACCACUGUCCUCUCCUUGACUUGGGCAUCUGCAUCCUAGGCUAUAACAUCUUCCUUAGUAUUGCUUCAUGCUUUUAUUUUUGCUAAGAUUGCUUUGCUGGCCUUGCUCAACAUUUUUUGUUGUUGUUGUUGUUGUUGUUGUUUUGAGACGGAGUCUCGCUCUGUCGCCCAGGCUGGAGUGCAGUGGCGCUAUCUCGGCUCACUGCAACUUCCACCUCCUGGGUUCAAGCGAUUCUCCUGCCUCAGCCUCCCGAGUAGCUGGGACUGCAAGUGUCUGCCACCACACCCAGCUAAUUUUUGUAUUUUUAGUAGAGACGGGGUUUCACCAUAUUGGCCAGGCUGGUCUCGAACUCCUGACCUUGUGAUCCCCCCGCCUCGGCCUCCCAAAGUGCUGGGAUUACAGGUGCGAGCCACCGCACCCGACCUUUGCUCAACAUUCUAUAGAUGCCGAGCUUGUUUGUUUAAGUUCUCCAGGGGAUCAGUCAGGAGAACUAGGUAGGAAGCUGGGCUUUAGGAACUUGUCUUUACUUUACCAGUGGCCAGAGAAGUUGGGAGGGCUGAGGUACGGUGGAAAAGUAAUGCAUUCCUAUCACAAUUGGCUAGAACAGAGGGAUCAGCCAGGCUGUUUGGUGAAGCUGUUUCCAAGGCCCAUACUAGGUGGCGGGAAGGCCCACACUCCUGUAGCUUUUUCACUCUCAUGAAACCGUCAUCCAGCAGGGGUCAGCUGUUCAUCAGGUGCAACUUCCAGAUGUUAUCUUCCAGAGGUUAUCAUAACCUCUAUUACCUCCCAAUAGAAUAAAUCUCUCUGAGCUGAAAAUAUACUCAAUCAUGAAGACAAGAAGACCGUACAUGCUUGGAGGUUUAGAUUUUUGAAGUUUUCUUUGGGCAGAAAGAUGACAUGAAAUGGCCAACUCACCUACGGCGAAGUGACUUAAGAUGCUGUAGAGCCUUCCCAUCAUCUACACACUUGGCAUAUAUUCCUAACAACAGGAUCUGAAAGAAACUAGGCCUGUCCACAUGGAAGUCAGACCAAGAUUUGAUUUUUUUUAAAUUACACAAUAAAUCAUUAAAUAGUAAAGCACUGUCACAUAAGAUUAAAGGGUUAUACUCGACAAUCUCUCUAGAUUAUAUUGCAGCACUUGCCUGUGCCUUAAAUGCAGACGGAGCACAAACUGCAUCUGAGAAGGAACUCCAGCUCUGCCUGUAUUUAGCCAUGACCUUCAGCAAAUCAUUUAACCUGUGUUUUCAUGAUAGAAAUGAAAAUGUCCACUUGAACCCAGGAGGCAGAGGCUGCAGUGAGCCAAGAUCGCGCCACUGCACUCCAGCCUGGUAACAGAGACUCUGUCUAAAAAAAAAAAAAAAAAAAAAAAAGGCAAUGAAAAUGUUUUAUGAAAUACAACACUAGACAUAAAAGUCUGGGUGGGAGUUUGAUUAUGCCACUCUGUCAGGCUUCUCACUCUUCCUUGUAAAGAACUUAUGCAUCCUUCAAAGCUGACUCAGAUGUUAUUAUGGUAAUACUUAACCAUAUGGGUUGGGCUGUUUGUGUAACUGCCACAUCUGCCCAAGGCUCUUCAUGUUAUUCUUGGUGCCUGGACCAAUGUGACCCGGAGAAGUGCUAAAUUAAAUAUUAGUUGAAAAAGUUAUAUCAGCCUAGGUUGGGACAAAUGAAAGCGACAAGUCGAUUAGUUGAAUACGAAUUCUACUAGGGACACAGAGGAACUGCACCUUAUCUGUGGAUUGCAAGGCUUGAAUUAUUAACAAUUCUGGGUUCACUGCACAUAUGCUGUGGAAAGCUAUCGACUCUGCUUUGACUACUAUGUGCUUUGCCUUACAGAAUAAAUCAUGGUUCUUUCAGCUUUCAUCAGUUAAUGCGGGAUUGCCUUACCAUCUCUCUGUUGGGCACUGAGUAUAACCUCAAGAAUAGCAGAGAAAGUCCCACUCUGAGGUGGCAAUAAUAUGAUUUAUACCAGGUGGCAAUAAAGGACACCUUUUAUAAAGAAAUUAUAUUACAAAACAUUUUAUAGUUUUGCAAAUAUUAAAUUCCUUGCCAAGCUGUAUUCACAUUAUACUUGGAGUAACAGUUUCGGGUUAUUUACAUGUUUUAAGUGGAGUACCAAGAAAUGUGGUGGUUAUUGUAUACACGUGCAUCUUCAUCAUAGGAACGAGGAAUGUGCUGGCCCUUCCCAGCAGCAAGGGAGAGGCCCCUGGCCUGCCUCGACUCAUUCCACUUCUAACUCUGACAGACUAUCCAGCAAUAGUGAGAUGAAAGCCCCAAAACUCAAAAGCACAAUGAAUCACUGCAGUUCCAGAACAGCCUAGAGGCAGCAACCCAGGGAAGGGAGCCAUUCUGAACCAUGAGUUCCCCCAAGCCUGAACUUGUCCUUCGAGCUUCACUCCCUUGCUAUUGUUGACCCAUUCUGAAAGGACUGGGGUGGUCUCCAAGUGCUAGGCACUGGGCCGACAGAAAGCUGCUUCCCAAGCUUUGUGAAAGGAAUCAUCAGAGGCAUCUUAAGAGGCAGGGGCUGAUUCAGCAAGGCUGGGGUGCUUUGAGAUUGUCCAUGUCUGAUCUACGCACCACGCUUUGAACACUAUGUAGCUGAAGGACUGUAUCUCAACAUUUCUACACAUUAGAAUCACCUGGGAGGCUUCCUCGAUCCAUAGAGGCGCCCACGCCUCACUCCUACUUAAAUCCAGACUAGGCAUGCAGGGUGCUGGAGCCCAGGCAUCAGUAUUUUUCUAAACAUUCCCCAGGUGAUUCUUAAAGUGGCCAGGUUCAAGAACAGCUGAUCUAAAGGUUCAACUCACUGUAAGCAUGGAACAGCCUCAAAGGAACUUCCUGCAAGUGAUCCAGACUUAACUCUGUUGGUCUUAACUGCUUUUAAUUUUCUUGUCCCCACUGACCAGUUAUGUGCUGAAGGCAAUUAAUUGCCACCUCUCAUUUUAACUCCUUUCAACAGAGGAAAUAAGCAGGCGUAUUCCUCCUUCUCUGUAUCUCACCCCAGUUCCUGACCCAGGGUGUACUUGACAGGUUAACACUUGGCGAUGCAUGACAUUGAGGUGCCUUCCUCUCCCUAACCUGAAGGACGCUCUAGUGAGCAAUUAUCACACCAAAAGAAAGAUGAAGGAGUCUGCAGCAUUCAAAGACAGAAGAGCAGCCAGGCAUGGUGGCUCACACUUGUAAUCCCAGCACUUUGGGAGGCCGAGGCGGGUGGAUCACGAGGUCAGGAGUUCAAGACCAGCUAGGACAACACAGUGAAACCCCAUCUCCAUUAAAAAUACAAAAAUCAGCUGGGCGUGGUGGCAGGCGCCUGUAAUCCCAGCUACUCGGAAGGCUGAGGUGGGAGAAUUGCUUAAACCCAGAGAGGCAGAGGUUGCAGGGAGCCAAGAUCGUGCCACUGCACUCCAGCCUAGGCAGCAGAGCUAGACUCCGUCUCAAAGAAAAAAAAGAGCACUGAGAACCAGCUGUAAAUGGUGAUCUACUCUUGCUAAAACGAUUCCUUAAGCUCAACAGAGUCAAUCUUGUUUCAAAUGCAUUUAGUGGCAGAAAAACAAACUAAUUUUCUUUCAUUAUUUGACUGGACUCAAUGCAUUCAAGUCAUGAAAGUUGAUGAUUCCAAAUUCAGAAUAAAAUAACACAUGACACAGAUAGUUUAGCAUUUUAUCCUCAUUUUUAACCUACAAAGUGUAAUGUUCUCAUAAAGUAUUUUAAUAAAUAUAUUAAGGCUUAAG
This 4202-nucleotide long non-coding RNA is filed under the name Homo sapiens (human). RNAcentral's name for it is "HSALNT0023737". Lineage: Eukaryota; Metazoa; Chordata; Mammalia; Primates; Hominidae. The record is from RNAcentral.